AGUGGCGGACGGGUGAGUAACGCGUGGAUAACCUGCCUUUCACAGGGGGAUAACAGCUGGAAACGGCUGCUAAUACCGCAUGAGCCUCUUUUAUCGCAUGACGGGAGAGGGAAAGAGAAAUCGGUGAGAGAUGGAUCCGCGUCCGAUUAGCUAGUUGGAGGGGUAAAAGCCCACCAAGGCGACGAUCGGUAGCCGACCUGAGAGGGUGGACGGCCACAUUGGGACUGAGACACGGCCCAAACUCCUACGGAAGGCAGCAG
This 260-nucleotide ribosomal RNA is filed under the name uncultured bacterium. RNAcentral describes it as "partial 16S ribosomal RNA". It matches the Rfam family "Bacterial small subunit ribosomal RNA", at positions 94 to 354 of the family's 1533-position model. The record is from RNAcentral.